UGAGCCACUGUGCCCAGCUGCAAACAGUCUUUAUGUGGGUAUCAAUGUCAGUCUCACCAUUGCUCAUAAGUGGUGAGAGUAAGAGCAAUGCUCCAUUUUCUUCUUGAUCUCAAAGGGAAGUUGUUAUCUCAGCAUCGAGUGACAAGAGACUGUAUAUGGGAGAGAUUCAGUGAAGAUAUGGACUGGAAGACUCCAAGGCCGCUUGUCUUUGAGACCUCAGACUGCAUAAGUGAUGCCAAAUGUUGGAUGUCCAGGCUAGCACCCUCCCUUCAGAUGACCAUUGCUAGCAAGAAACAGGAGGCGGUGGCCAUAUUCCAAAAACCACUUCUGUCCCAUUUCACCAGGAUGACUAAGGCAAGCUCCCUGUGGCCUCUAAAAACCACCUGCCAGAUUUCAGGGACUGUUUUUUUUUUUCUUUUUCUUUUUUCCUGUUUUCUAAUGCAGGCCCAAUGUGACAAA
This 459-nucleotide long non-coding RNA is filed under the name Homo sapiens (human). RNAcentral's name for it is "non-protein coding lnc-NKAIN1-1:2". Lineage: Eukaryota; Metazoa; Chordata; Mammalia; Primates; Hominidae. The record is from RNAcentral.